GACGAACGCUGGCGGCGUGCCUAAUACAUGCAAGUUGAGCGAUGAAGAUUGGUGCUUGCACCAAUUUGAAGAGCAGCGAACGGGUGAGUAACGCGUGGGGAAUCUGCCUUUGAGCGGGGGACAACAUUUGGAAACGAAUGCUAAUACCGCAUAACAACUUUAAACAUAAGUUUUAAGUUUGAAAGAUGCAAUUGCAUCACUCAAAGAUGAUCCCGCGUUGUAUUAGCUAGUUGGUGAGGUAAAGGCUCACCAAGGCGAUGAUACAUAGCCGACCUGAGAGGGUGAUCGGCCACAUUGGGACUGAGACACGGCCCAAACUGCUAGAGGAGGCAGCAGUAGGGAAUCGUCGGCAAUGGACGAAAGUCUGACCGAGCAACGCCGCGUGAGUGAAGAGGGUUUUCGGGUCGUAAAACUCUGUUGGUAGAGAAGAGCGUUGGUGAGAGUGGAAAGCUCAGCGAGUGACGGUAACUACCCAGAAAGGGACGGCUAACUACGUG
RNAcentral lists this ribosomal RNA (497 nucleotides) under uncultured bacterium. Its description in RNAcentral is "partial 16S ribosomal RNA". It matches the Rfam family "Bacterial small subunit ribosomal RNA", at positions 28 to 507 of the family's 1533-position model. The record is from RNAcentral.